GCCAUGAUUUUGGGAAUUUUCGGCCAAAUCCAAAGGGUGAUUUUUUGGGUUCAUGUUUGUCUUGUUAAAAUGGUUUUAAGGUGACUUUUGGAACCCCUAAGUACCCUAGGAUGUUAGCCUCAUUUUGAAUGAUGAAAAUUUGAGUUUUUUGGCUUGAAAACAUUCAUGGAGCUCUUAUGCGUUUUCAUGGAUGUUCUUCAUAUGUUCUUGAUGUUCUUGCCAAGAACACAAAGGUUUGUGUUUUGAUUC
This 249-nucleotide long non-coding RNA is filed under the name Malus domestica (apple). RNAcentral's name for it is "long non-coding RNA (MDOM_LNC020619)". Lineage: Eukaryota; Viridiplantae; Streptophyta; Magnoliopsida; Rosales; Rosaceae. The record is from RNAcentral.